Molecule: non-coding RNA, 123 nt
Organism: Picea glauca (white spruce)
Lineage: Eukaryota; Viridiplantae; Streptophyta; Pinopsida; Pinales; Pinaceae
Source: Rfam
AUGUACAUUCCUACAACUUAGAAUUAAUGCACUGGAUCCCAUUAGAACUUCAUAGUUAACCAUGCUCAGGCUAGAUUAGUACUGGGAUGGGUGACCACCCAGGAAGUCCUAGUAUUUUACAUG